RNAcentral lists this long non-coding RNA (380 nucleotides) under Cicer arietinum (chickpea). RNAcentral describes it as "long non-coding RNA (CARI_LNC000284)". The record is from RNAcentral. Lineage: Eukaryota; Viridiplantae; Streptophyta; Magnoliopsida; Fabales; Fabaceae.
UAGGACUUUCUAGUUGGAUUUCAUCUAUCUUUUUGCUACAAACACGCCGAAGGGCGAUUCAAUAAUAAACUCCACUAAUAAAAGCAAUAUCUAUACAAAAUUCAUGCAAAGUCUUAAGGUUUAAGUAAUUAAUUUUACUCAUGCAAACAUGGAGGGGAAUUUGUGGGCUGGCACUUUUUUUUCUCAUAACAAAGCAAAAGGAAUCUAUGUAUGACCCCACGAAAACCAAAAGUUCUUCACAUACUAAUGGAGAAUCUUAACGGUAUAACAUCUAUUUUUUUUUUUUUUUUGACUUAUUUAUUAGUAGUCUAUUAUUGUACAUUGAUAUUGUUCUAGUUUUUUUCAAGGAUCUCCUCUCAUGAGUAAUAAUAGUAUUUAAU